GUAGGACUGUGUGGGUCGGCUCUAGUAUGGAUCCCCUUGCAAAGGCAGCACGUGUGUCUCUUUAAUCAACACUUUAUAACAGGCAGAAUCAGUCACUUCUCCAAAAAGCCCUGGCUCCUGUUGUUUGGAAAGGACAUUAGGGAACACAAACUCCGUACUCACGGGCUCUCACUGCUUUCAGGAGUCCUCACCGUGAACUUAGGGCAGCACAGGGUCUGAUGAAAUACAUGUGAGUCAUUGCCAGGCCCUCACCUGUCAGGUGGGGACAUUUCCUGGUUCCAGGACCCGAGACCCCGUCUGCCUCAGAAAAGUGCCCGAGUGGCUUGUGCUGAACCAUGAUUGUUUUCCUCCUAUAUCCACCGGAUGCAGCUAAUGAGAUGGUAAUUAAAUCUCCCCUGAAAAUAUCUGCAAGCUAGCGAUCAGGGAAGGAUAACUUUCCUUUGCCAAGUGAGGACAGAAGACUUUCAGAAAAAGGUGACCCUCGCAUGUGAGCCAUUUGGAGAGCAGAAAAAUGAAGGACUUCAGCACUUUUCAGCUUAAA
Molecule: long non-coding RNA, 541 nt
Organism: Suricata suricatta (meerkat)
Lineage: Eukaryota; Metazoa; Chordata; Mammalia; Carnivora; Herpestidae
Exons: 4
Source: RefSeq, a predicted model, not a curated record